Polypterus senegalus (gray bichir) is the source of this 257-nucleotide long non-coding RNA. RefSeq lists it as uncharacterized. The record is from RefSeq and is a predicted model, not a curated record. NCBI's taxonomy places the organism in Eukaryota, Metazoa, Chordata, Cladistia, Polypteriformes, Polypteridae. The transcript is spliced from 3 exons.
UGAGGCCAUUGAGGGAGUUGCCAUCAUCAUAACCGUGUGGCCAUUCAGAUGUUCAAUUGCUCUUCUAAGGAGACACCAUGAAGGUUUGAAAGGCCAAGUGACUAUAAGUGGAGUUAUUCAGUGUGAAACUGACCGGAGGGGACCCAAGGCAACCCGUGCCAGACGCAGCAAAGAACCCUCAAAACAUAAUAGAUCCUCCUCUGUGUUUCACAGUAGGAAAAAAGACGCUCCGUCGCCAUAACCUGACCGCACCACGU